This 497-nucleotide ribosomal RNA is filed under the name uncultured bacterium. RNAcentral describes it as "partial 16S ribosomal RNA". It matches the Rfam family "Bacterial small subunit ribosomal RNA", at positions 28 to 507 of the family's 1533-position model. The record is from RNAcentral.
GAUGAACGCUGGCGGCGUGCCUAAUACAUGCAAGUCGAGCGAACAGACGAGGAGCUUGCUCCUCUGACGUUAGCGGCGGACGGGUGAGUAACACGUGGAUAACCUACCUAUAAGACUGGGAUAACUUCGGGAGACCGGAGCUAAUACCGGAUAAUAUAUUGAACCGCAUGGUUCAAUAGUUAAAGACGGUUUUGCUGUCACUUAUAGAUGGAUCCGCGCCGCAUUAGCUAGUUGGUAAGGUAACGGCUUACCAAGGCAACGAUGCGUAGCCGACCUGAGAGGGUGAUCGGCCACACUGGAACUGAGACACGGUCCAGACUCCUACGGGAGGCAGCAGUAGGGAAUCUUCCGCAAUGGGCGAAAGCCUGACGGAGCAACGCCGCGUGAGUGAUGAAGGUCUUCGGAUCGUAAAACUCUGUUAUUAGGGAAGAACAAAUGUGUAAGUAACUAUGCACGUCUUGACGGUACCUAAUCAGAAAGCCACGGCUAACUACGUG